Molecule: ribosomal RNA, 263 nt
Filed under: uncultured Bacteroidota bacterium
Lineage: Bacteria; Pseudomonadati; Bacteroidota
Description: uncultured Bacteroidetes bacterium partial 16S ribosomal RNA
Source: RNAcentral
UCAUCGAAUUAAACCACAUGCUCCACCGCUUGUGCGGGCCCACGUCAAUUCCUUUGAGUUUCACUCUUGCGAGCGUACUCCCCAGGUGGGAUACUUAUCACUUUCGCUUGACCACUCAGUCCUAAAAACCGAACAGUUAGUAUCGAUCGUUUACGGCGUGGACUACCGGGGUAUCUUAUCAAUCGAAUUCCCGCGGCCGCCAUGGCGGCCGGAAGCUGCGACGUGGCCCAAUGCCAUAGGGGUCGAUUAAAUAGGCGGUAAAA